RNAcentral lists this ribosomal RNA (253 nucleotides) under uncultured bacterium. RNAcentral describes it as "partial 16S ribosomal RNA". It matches the Rfam family "Bacterial small subunit ribosomal RNA", at positions 524 to 776 of the family's 1533-position model. The record is from RNAcentral.
UACGGGGGGGGCAAGCGUUGUUCGGAAUUACUGGGCGUAAAGGGCUCGUAGGCGGCCAACUAAGUCGGAUGUGAAAUCCCCAGGCUUAACUUGGGAACUGCAGCCGAUACUGGAUGGCUUGAAUCCGGGAGAGGGAUGCGGAAUUCCAGGUGUAGCGGUGAAAUGCGUAGAUAUCUGGAGGAACACCGGUGGCGAAGGCGGCAUCCUGGACCGGCAUUGACGCUGAUGAGCGAAAGCCAGGGGAGCAAACGGG